Long non-coding RNA from Entelurus aequoreus (snake pipefish), 1797 nucleotides. RefSeq lists it as uncharacterized. The transcript is spliced from 4 exons. The record is from RefSeq and is a predicted model, not a curated record. NCBI's taxonomy places the organism in Eukaryota, Metazoa, Chordata, Actinopteri, Syngnathiformes, Syngnathidae.
UGAUGCUACAUACAGUAUGUACAAAAAAAAUAAAACACAUGAUGUUAGUGCAACAGUCGAAGAAAAUGAGCAAACUACAUAAAUAACAUCCUGUAAUUUGAUUUUGAUAUUUUUUUUUGUAUCUUGUUAGAUUGAAAAUGAACACCAAUGAGUUGACUGAUGAACAUUAUCACGUCAUUUAUUCAGAAAGUAUAAAUAACGACAAUUAAAGGUAGAACACUAUUAACUGCAACAUGUAAGUGUAAAAAAACAACACAAUUUAUUUAUUUUUGAGAAAUUCUAUUUUUAAACAAAGAAAACAAUCUGAAGUUGUCUUUAUUUUGAAGUUAUCGUGCCGUGAUUUUACCAGUCCGGCCCACUUGGGAGUAGAUUUUUCUCAAUGUGGCCCCCGAUCUAAAAUGACUUUGACACCUCUGGCCUAGAUAAAUUGGUAAACAUCCUCACAAAUAUUGAUAUAAAGCAUUACCGUAUUUUCCGGACCAUAGGGCACACCGGAUUAUAAGGAGCACUGCCGAUGAAUGCUCUAUUUUGGAUCUUUUUUUCAUAUAUAAGGCGCACCGGAUUAUAAGGCGCAUUAAAGGAGUCAUAAUAUAUAUAUUUUUUUCUAAAUGUAAAAGACUUCCUUGGGGUCUACAUAACAUGUAAUGGUGGUUCUUUGCUCAAAAUGUUGCAUAGAUGAUGUUUUACACAUCAUCUUCAAGCCGUUUUGUGGGCGGUCUUAUUUACGUGGCUCACCUUCGGCAGCGUCUUCUCCCCGUCAUCUUUGUUGUGAAGUGUCAAAAGAUGGAGCUAACUGUUUUAAUGACAUUCAGACUUUACUUCAAUCAAUAACGGAGCAGCAUCUCCUCAUCCAGAAACAACAACACCAGAAAUGUGUCCCGUGAAAAACCGUCCGACCAGAACUCUAAUAACUAAAGUUCCUUGGGUGAAUAAUGAAAUGGCAACAGCAGAGGAUGGAUGUCCCAUAACAAGAAGGUGGAGAAAAAGAAGAAGCUUAUCGACUACGGCGUCGGCACGGACUACAAAGGCGGACCUGCACACAUUUUCAGGUACCAGAAGGGAGCUCAGAGUGCCUUUCCUGGACCACAGACUGAGUGCUUACUUCCUGUCACUGCCACCUGAGAUGAUCACAGACUGAGUGCUUACUUCCUGUUACUGCCACCUGAGAUGAGGACUCCAAGGGUAGGCAGAAUGGAACUUGUCAUGAGAUGAAUGGAAGGUAUCGUAGUCCUCUCACGUAUCGUCUCUGUGAGGAGUGGAGAAGUUCCUUCUGAGGGACGCCUUCAAAGGUCCAAAUCUGAUCCCUGAUGAGAUUGUGUGGCGACGUAAAGAAGACUUCAGUGAUGGAGUCAUGUCGGAGAAGAAGUCCUGGUACAUCUUCCUGGAGGAGCACCUCCACUCUGUGGUGAGCGACGUGCAGCUGGCCAAGGCAAAGGAGAUUUGCACCCACAACCGUCCUCACACCAAAGAAGCGUGCUUCUACCGACACUCGCUUUCCUGGACGUGCUGAUUGGCUGCCUCACUUCUGGAUGCCUCGCUGGAUUGAAGCUAACAACCCUCAGCUCGCACACUCACCAUCUACAAGCUGUAACUGUAACCACUGAGCAAGUACUACUUACUAGUACUACUUACUAGUACUACUAAUGCUAACACAUCACAUGAUAGAACGUCAAUAUGAUUGAUCAGUGAUUCUCAAACUGUGGUAUGCUGGUUCCAAAUAAUCACUUUAUGAAAGUACAGUGUUUUAUUUUUCUAGGUUCCAGUGGUUCUCAAACUUUUUUUCAGGGUUAAAUAGAU